Molecule: long non-coding RNA, 748 nt
Organism: Uranotaenia lowii
Lineage: Eukaryota; Metazoa; Arthropoda; Insecta; Diptera; Culicidae
Exons: 4
Source: RefSeq, a predicted model, not a curated record
GUGAACUGUUUGACGAUGCGGCAGAAAUUUUUAUCUUAAAUAGACUGUAAAUUAUGAAAAAUCAUGCAGUUUAAAAAUUUGGUUCCAGAAUACGUUGGUUGAGUUUGCUUGUACUUCAGGACUAGGUAGAACGGUACGAAACGAAGAAAAACUCCCGCGGUACGAAUAUAUUGUCAGAAGAAGAACUGGUGUAGUAGUCUUCUCGGAUAGCAAUCGACAUUUGAUGGAAGCAAAUCGGACUAAGUAUGAAGAGGAACAUAGGCUCAGCCGGAGUCUAAAUACUGGUUCUUUAAUUCCCAAGGCAAAUCAUCCGGAUCACCAUCAUAUAACAAUGGUAGAGGACGAAAAAAGACUGAAACAAACUCGAGAUUUGUUGGACAAUCUCAACCUAAAAAUUAUUCGAAUAGUGCCAGGAAAACUUUCGCUUGAACUCCACUCGUGAGCAGACCAGCUUUUGGAACCGGAUAAGAAUGCAUAGUUUAGUGCGCAGGAUAAGUGCUUGGCAGAGAAAAAUUACUAUUGGUAUAUAGGAGCUAUCCGAUGGUUAACAUAUUGUAUAAACCGAGGAUUACGAUUUACAAUUAUUCCGUAUUACAUGGGCAUUUUUAUUUGUGGCGCUACUCUAUCCGAUUACAAAACCUAGGCACCUGGAUAAGCUGAGCACUUAGCUAAGAAAACGACACUGGGGAAUUUCAGAAACUGGAAAGUUACAGCUUUGACGCGUUCAAAUAGUGUAAAUGUAGAACUC